UUAGAUUAAAUGUUCUGCCUAGCAGACGCCGCGUCUGCCGAUCGUGCGAGCGCUCCGCGGCCGCCGAUCCCGCGGCCCAGCGGCAACUCCCUGAUUUUCGUUUUUUUAGGAAUCCCUGAUUUUCGGUUUGGUCCACGCGAAAGUGGCUCCCGAGUCCUGGCACUGGCUUUAGGCCCCAACAAGAACGGCGAAAGAAGGGAUCCGCAGCAACAACGUUGCGCCGCCGCUCCGCCCGUGCGCUCCCCACCCCCGAUCCGCCCCGAGCCCACCAGGCCUCCGAACGCCGCCGUCGAGCUCCUCUGCCGGACACCAUGGCCAUGGACUAAAGCUCCGCCGGACCUUCCCUCGCGAGUGCCGGCCCUCCUCCCGACUAAAUCGGCGACGGCGACGAACGGUGAUGAACACAUGCCUACCCCCUUCUUAAUUCUCCCGGGCAGUCUGUGAUGCAGAUGCCGCCGCUGCCAUUCUUCCGCACAGCCGAGGACGCGAAAGUCGUUGUUGUCUGCAACUCAGCUGCCUCCAUCCUGUUGCCCUGCGAAGUUGAGGAGGGUUUGUUGUCCGGACAUCGCAUCCUCCUGCUUGUCCUCUACCACAGGGUCGUUGCCAUCUUCAGUCACCACGGCCACCUCUGCCAUGUCCUCUACCACGGGUUCAAUAGGGGCAUACCACCGCAUGUCCUCUUCACAUGAUAGGGAGAGCAGGGGAAAAGUCUUGUGGAUACAUAUAUGAAUGCCCGCCAGAAGAAGAGAAGGGUGUUUGGCUGCAAAUCAGUUUUAUGUCAAACUGCACAUAAAUAUGAUCAAGUACUUGUUGUCUUUUUACUGGCAGGGAGAGCAGGAGAAGGUGUUGUGGAUACAUAUAUGAAUGCCCGCCAGAAGAAGAGAAAGAUGUUUGGCUGCAAGUAAUUGUGUUCGUAGGCUGUCCAUAUCACCGGCACUAAGGGGAAAUGUUCGACUGCCACGUUCCUGUCUAAUAUCAUGAGGGAGCAAGCAUAAACUGUGGGCUGCUAUUCCAGGUAUUCCACCAUAUCACCAAGCUCCGUGUAUCAUUUAAUCCAUUUGGUAGUAACUAUUAGACGACAUGAUCAUGGAAAUGGAAAUUGUAUGGUGCUGAUGUUUAUGCAGUCCACACCUUUUAACAAUCCGAGAGCGCAUCACCUGUUUCAGCUGCAUCUUUGAGGGAUCUUUUUGAUCUGGCAAAAGGAAGCUAUUGAUGAAUCAAUCGAAUAUUUUCAAAGAUAUUUUUAGGUUGCAAGGUUGGUAUUUUGCUUUAAUAAAAUGCUGAUGAUGCGUACUCAGAUAUUUUUUUGUAUGUCCCCGAAUGGGAGCCUAUACAAUACCAAUAAACGAUAAGCAUAACAAGAAAAAUAGCAAAGGUACUAUCGAAUGGGAGCCUAAUUUCUUGUUUCAGUAUUGUCUGCAGCUUUGUUUCAGGAAGAUACAAUUCUGUAAUUUUUUUAUGUCGCAUUUGAAGGUGUCGGCAAGUAAGCGGCUCUACAUCUUGCCAAUUCCAUUUCUAAUAGGCAUGAACCCCCUGUGUUUUGGACAACUAAGGUUACAUGCAUGUGUUCAUAUCAUAAUCAUGUACCAAUUCUGAGUCAGACGCGUGCAUUUGGAUUGGAUAUUGAACCGAGCCCGCCAUUUUAUUACUCUGAAAGAACUAUACAGUGAUAUUUGGCUAUUGCUUUCAGUAUUAGAGAAGCAUAGAAACUGAACUGCAGGGCUUUCUAUAUUUUUAUGUGAAAUUCCUCUAUGACAUUGUGCCAUACUAUUUACUUUGAGCAACCUUUCUAUGCUAUUUUCUUGGACAGUUUAUACUGUAAUCUCUAGCACCUCAAUAUAUGGUAAACAAGUGCAAGCUUGGGUAUUUUUUUCCUCAUCUCGUAUUCAUUUUAUUUGCUAUGUUACUUUAGCAAUCAAAUAGAAUCAGGCACAAGCUCCAGUUAGUCCUGUGUAAAAACUGAUGUGCAGGUGUGGACCAUGGAUUCCUUAUUUUGUGCGUUUCAGACUUGGGAUCGUAGGGAGAAGUGUGAACUAUGGAGUCAUACCAGAACUCGAUUGACCAUGGCACAUCUUCAUAAACGAGUCAUGGCAUCGGCAACAAUAUUCAAGAUUUCAUGUUCCCUUCAUUUCCAAGCAUCACUCUUAAAGCAAUAUAUGCAGGUUCAUCAUUCAUGCGAGGGAUAUGAAUGACGAAACAAAAGUAAAAGGUGUUUAUGCCAACAGAUCAUCAUAAUUUGGGAGGAGUGUCAUGUCGGCUUUAUAAAGCCAGUAGCAUCCUACUAUUCGCAGUUUCUGUACUUCAAUGAAAUAAUACAAUUUUCAAAUUAUAUAUUUUAUGGCCA
Long non-coding RNA from Triticum aestivum (bread wheat), 2344 nucleotides. RefSeq lists it as uncharacterized. Lineage: Eukaryota; Viridiplantae; Streptophyta; Magnoliopsida; Poales; Poaceae. The record is from RefSeq and is a predicted model, not a curated record. The transcript is spliced from 3 exons.